Molecule: long non-coding RNA, 15506 nt
Filed under: Populus trichocarpa (black cottonwood)
Lineage: Eukaryota; Viridiplantae; Streptophyta; Magnoliopsida; Malpighiales; Salicaceae
Description: long non-coding RNA (PTRI_LNC001480)
Source: RNAcentral
GUAAUGAUAUAGUGGAAAUUUCACUUGACUACGCACCCCAUUGAUCAUUCUGCUCAAGCAGCUAGGCUUAGAAAAGAGGACAUCAGUGUUUAAUUUAAUUAUUUGUGCACAAUUAUAAGAGGAAAAAAACAUCCCAAAUUAAAUAAUUGUAGUUAAGAAAUAAAGUGUACAUUACUUUUUUAAUCCCCACUUUGAGUAAGCUUAUAUACAGCGGCUACUAGCCUAGCUACAUGAUGUGAGCCAGCCAAGUCUCACCAUAUAUACACCGUGUCCACACACAAAAAAUACAACUAAAACUUGUCUCAUGUGAUAGAUUCGCAUAUAAAAUCCUCGUAUGAUGAGAUGACCAACGCCAAAAACUCCAGAGCACCCACCUGCACAAAAACUCGAGAGAAGAUGGAGAAAGGAAUUAACAGCCCAAAAAGAAUGAAGAGCCAUCUCUGCAUCCCCAGGCUUAGAGUCAACACAACCUGCACAAUCAAGAACCACCGUUUAUCCCCAAUGACUCUCCUUGAACGUUUUCGACAAGCUGUGUUUCGUCUGAUGAUGUUAUCUGCUCUGUCUAAGGCCACACAUAACGCUGCCGGAUCAUCGCCGGAUCAUCAUGUAAUGAAGAAGAGAUCAUCUUAUUAUCCUGCUGAUCCUCAUCAUAGUGAAGCUGUUGCAGACUGUAUAGAGUUUAUCAAGAAAUCAUCAUUGACCGAUCAGGAGGAGAUCAACCGUGACUCUACUGCUAGUAGCUCCUUCGAUGACACCGGUGAGAUGGCCAUGCCUGUCCCGGUCACGUGAGACAGGUUUCAUUUAAUUUGUGUCCAUCCUUUUUUUUUUUUUUUUUUCUUAUAGAUUGAUUGGUGUAUAAUUGUAAUUGAAUUUAUUAGCUUCUUGUUUGGAGGAUGAUUAAUGUUGUGAAUUGUGAUCUUAAGGUGUGGGGUGGUAAUACACAGCUCGCAAUAACCUCAUUGUGUACGGAAAUGACAGGAAAUUGUAGAUUAUAUUAUUUCUAUGAUCCUUUUCUUGGGGUUUUUUUUUUCUACUCUAAGUAUACCGUGUGCUUGAGAAUACAGUUAAAAUUAAAUUUUUUAAAAAUUAAAUUUUUUUAUGUUUUCAAAUCAUUUUAAUAGGUUGAUGUCAAAAAUAAUUUUUUUAAAAUAAAUAAAAAUUAUUAUUUUAAUAUAUUUCUAAAUAAACCCUCCUUAAAAUACUCUGAAUAAUGUCGUGUAUAACUGUUAAAUUACAUCCUAUCAAACAAAUAAUAACUGUUAAAUUACAUCCUAUCAAACAAAUAAAAAAAAAGAGAUUUAAACCAGAAUAAAUAUAAAUGUUCGCUAUCCAACCUUAAAAUGGUAGAUGGGCCCUGGUCGGUGGUUGAUUGAUGUUUGACUGCUCACCGUUGGCAAAUGGUCCCUCAUUUUCACGGGAAACUUGUCAAAAACUGGGCUCCACGAGCAUAUCAUUCAUUUGUUUCUGCUUUCCAAGAAGAAAGCCCACAUAAAACAUCGACCAAUUUCAGACGUUAAAAUCUUCUUUGAGUCCCUCUACUCUUGAUCUUACAUUAUGUUUCCUGUAUUUUUAUUUAUACUAAUUCCAAUCCUCUAUUUUCAAAAUUACUUUUGUUUAGUUCCUUAUUUGAUUAGAAGCUUCGGUUGCCUUAAAAUCAUCAUGUUGUAUCCCACCAUACCAUGAUACAGUAAUAAUAAUAGUAAUACAGUGGGAUUCUAAGAAAAAAAUAAUGUAUGAUUUUACGCGUAAAAAUGUUAAUUAUCGGUAUAAGCCUUACGUACAAUCGUGUUAUUUUGACCGAAAGUUGUUAAAUUCUAAACAAAUUUUUAUGAAGGUUAUGGAUGGAAGCAUAAUUUUAAAGCCCCGCCCGGCCCGGCGGGUCGACCUGGCUGACCCGGGGCUGGAACCGAGUCGGGUUGAUGAAAAAACCGGUCAGGGAUUUGGUCCGGUAAAACCCGGUCGAUCCGAUGGGUCAACCCGGGGAAACCCGACUGAGACCCGGCUAUACCGGGUCGGGUUGAUGAAAAAACCGGUCAGGAAUUUGGCCCGGUAAAACCCGGUCGAUCCAGCGGGUCAACCCGGGGAAACCCGACUGAGACUCGGCUAUGUUUUUUAAUAUAUAUAUAUAUAUAUAUAUAUAUAUAUAUAUAUAUAUAUAUAUAGUUUUGGAUUUUUUUUUGUUAAGGAUCUUUGUAAGGUCAUAGGUAUUGGUACUGGUUGAGGGUAAUAUAGAGCGGUUUGGAGGGUUGGAAGGUAGAUGCUCUGGUUUGCUAAAGUCUUUCACCAGCUUAUCUAAAUAGGUUUUUUGGAGCUGAGAAUCAUCAAGUCUUUUGAUGGCCUCAAGGAUAAAUUCUUGAUCUUGGGUUAGGACAUUGACUUGUUUGGAGUCUGUAGAUGUAUUUGAAGUAGCACUGGAAGUUACUAUUUCAUCAAAUCUAAGUCACAAUACAUUUUCAAAACUAAAUUUCAAAAUAUUUUAACUAUGAAAGAAGGCUUUUAUCAUGAAAACCCUUCCAUUAUAGCUUCAAAACUAUUCCCUCCACAUUGGCAUUACAAAACCUGGGAUUUAACAAAAUCUCAAUCAUACUAUACCGCCAUCCUUGAAAUCACAAACUCUGUCAAAUUCAAACAUAUAUAUAUAUAAAGUAAUCCCAUCCGUAGUACAAAUUGUUUGGUUCUUGUACUACAAGAAGAUCAGAGGAAUUUAAGUUCAAGGCAAGCUUUUUACUUGUUUGGUUCUCUUCAUUUCAGAUCUGCAAAUCAAGGUAAGAUUAAGUUGUUGUUAUCUUCAAUUUUUUGUUCUUCAUUUGGGAAAGGCUCUAUCUCUCACCUCCUCUUCCAUUGCUGUCAAAUAGAAGAUUAAAAUUCUGGUUUGGGAAUGAAAAUGAUAUGGAAUAAAUGAGGAAAUUGUGGGGUUUUUUUACUGUUGCAAAAUAAGGAAUUAAAACCGUGCAAUUUAGUUUUUACAAGAAAGAAACAGAAACCAAAGAGCAAUAAAUGCCAAGUUUGUAUGAGGGAGGGCCGGAGGGGUAUGAGUUGUGUCUACAACUUGCAUACCUUUAUUGGUUUGUAGCAGCAUCAAAUGCCAGCGUUCUGGUUUUCUAUGGGUCAAGCCAGCUGUUCUCAAUCGCUCUUUCCAAUUUCUAUGGCUACAUACUUUGCUUUGAAUUGGUCUCUUCUAAAAAGGUCUUUCAGAUUCAUUCUCAUCCUGAUCUACCAUAAAAAUUUUGGAAUCUACAAAAACAUUCUAGGAGAGGGCUCAUAAUGAUCUUUAAUGUGAGAUAUGUUGUGGGGGUCCUGUAUAAGAUUGAAGAGUUGAGAGUUGUUGGGCACAAGGGGAUCUUGAAUCAAAGAAUUCUUGUUCGGCAAACGAAAUAGAAAAAAUAGCAUUGGUUCAGAAAAAGUAGCAUUGGUUCCAAACAAACGAAAUAGCAUUGGUUGGAAUUCUUUUUUUUUGUCAACUCGGGUCAACCCAUCUGACCCGUGACCUGAUUGUUAUACCAGGUCGACCAUCGGGUCGGGUUUAGAAACUAUGUAUGAAAGUCAUCAAUGAAUUAGAUUAAAAAUCACUACGAUGUAAGUAAAUGAAAUGGUACGCAAAAUUUGGAUUUUUGACGUAAAAUUAUCUAAUGACCAGUUUUACAAUAUCAAUUAUAUCUCUCAAUCCGAUUGUUUGAACAUGCUAAGAUUUACGAGUAGUCUUUUGACAUUAUUCUAACUUGGGUUGAAUUUUCAGGUCAAUCGGAAUCCAGAAAAGCCUUGUGAAAAUACCAACAGACCAGAAUUAGAUAUAAAGGAACAUAUAGAUAUUUAGGAAAGGCAAUGUGGUCUUUUCAUAUAUUGUAAUAAAAAUAUAUAUGAAGUUAAGAAAAAAUGAUUUGAAAAGAAGGCAGUGCUCUUGUAUGCAUUAUUAUAAGUGUUAAUAAUUGGGGGCAUUGUAGUUUUUUUCAUAUAAAUAAGGUAAAAAAAGAAAAGAUACCAUAUUUUGGAGAGAAAUCGUACUUAAGAGGAAGAGAAAGAGGGAGAAGGUGAAGAAGAGAAAAGAGAUAGAGGAAGAAAUGAAGAAAAAGUUGAGAGAUGGAUGGUUAAUGAGACUAGUGCCCUGGUUAAUGAGCUAUCGAAAAAACUAGUUAUAUAGUUAAUGAGAUUAGUGCCCCGGUUAAAGGCUAAUUGGAGAAACUAGUUACCCUAAUUAAUGAGACUAGUGCCUUAAUAAAUAGACACUUAGAAAAACCAGUUAAUUUAGUAAUGGAACAAAUGCCUAGUUUGGGCUAGAGAGGACAUUGGUAUGUCCUUAAAUUGUGUUAAUUGUAUUGAUUUGUAAGGUUAUAGGUAAAAUAAGAAAUUAACUAUUUAGUAAUUGAUGUGAUAAAUAUAUAGAAGAGAUAAUAGAAAAUAUUCAUUGUGUAUAAAGCUAAUUAUAUUUGCCAUUAAAUAAAUUUUUACGUAAUUCACAACAUCAUGCCAAGUAGUAAAUCAUGUAAUUGGUAUGUAUAGUAACAUGUAAUGUAGUAAGGUGUAUAUGAGUUUGGUUGUGUUGACAUAUCAAUGACUGUGUAUUUAAUUAGCCCUACCGACAAAGUUUAAUGGAAAAUAAAGAUGAUUUAAGCAAGUCUUGCAAGUAUAAAAGUAAUGAAAGGUUAUAUGAUAAAUUAUAAAUAAUAGAAAUGGAUAUGAAAUAAGUGGAAUGAAUAAUGAAUCGAGGAAAUUUCUCAAUAUAACAAGAGUGUUAUAUGGAUUGAAGUAUGAUAUAUCAUAGAUGAAAUAAAUAUUAGGGAAGCAAAAAGAUGACAUGAGUUAAAUAUGUUAUGAAUUAAAUAACAAUAUUAAUUAGAUAUACUUAUGAAAUGAGUUAUGAUAUGUAUUAAAGGUGGUUGAGAGAAAAAAAUUAUAUGAUUUAUAUGUGUUGAGGAAAUAAAUUGGAGGUAAAAUCCAUGAGUUGUGAAAUAAUAAUAUUAAUAUAAAUUGAAUAUAUUCAUAAAAUGAAAAGGAGUUAUGAAAUAACCUCAAACAUUAGAUGAAAGAAAGUGUUUGAAUGAGACCAACCAAUUUUAAAGUUGUAAGAAAUAAAUCGUAUAGUGACAAGUUAAACUAAAUUAUGAAUGAAACAAUUAUCAUGAUACAAGGAUGAUAAGGUGAUGAAUAAAAUUAUGAGAAGAAAAUUUAUCAGGAAAUAAAGAAAAAUAAAAAAUGUUGAAAAUUGAUAUAAAAUCAACGUUCCUAAAGAAAAAAAAUGAUGAAAUUAGUUUUGAUCAUAUAAUUAUUAAACGUUAGUAAUUAGGAUGAUGCAAAUGUUUAAUAUGAUUUAUUUUGUAUAUGUCCCAUGCAAAUUCUUUCAAGAACAUCCAUUUCUUAGAGUCACUAAGCUACUCUAUUUUAUACAAAAAGAAUAUUUGUAUUUUUUUUAUAAAAAAAUUAUAAAUAGUUAGCGUGGAUGAAAAUUUUAACGAGAAAAUACGGAGUGUUACACAAUCCUAGAAGAAAAGAAAGAAGUCUUGUACAUAAAAAAAUAAAAAAAACAUGGUUGUAAUCCAUAACGAUACAUGAGUUGAUACAUAAUGUUUUUCUCACAUCUCUUGGUUUACUUUUGUAAUUAGUGUACUUAUAAUAAAAAAAAUUUGAUCGAAGAAUCCAUCAAAACAAAAAUAUCCCUUUUGCUAUGAAUAUAGCAAUGUUGAUUGUUUUGCCUCGACUAGCUUUCGAGAUAUUUAUUUGACUUGACAAAUUAACCUUAAUUCAUUAAUUUGGAAUCUAACUACAUCUAAUUUUACUUAUAAUUAGUUUUGUUUUCGUUUUUUAAAAUGAUUUUAUUUUUAGUUUUUUUAAACCCUUGAAACAAUAUUGUUUUAGUAUUGUAUUUUUUUAAAUCAUAAUUUAAAUCGACUCAUCAAUUUACAGAUCAACUUACUCCAUCCACGAUAUAUAUUUUACGUAUUUUACAAUAUCGAGGCAACUCCCAAAUAACUAUACCUAACUAUAUAAAAAAAUAUAUGUUUAAAUCUGGUGGCCAUCAUAUCAAUUUUGUAAUCUUCACAUCCACACGUAUAAUUAUAGAACUUGGAAUCAUGAUUAAUAGAAAGGAGGAACACUUUUCCUGCUCUUGGUCCAAAAAGUUCCCCAAACCACCCAAUCCAUGUGGGUUUUUUAGAUAUACAAUCGAGACAUGAAAUUUUGCUAUUCCAAUCUACAUGGACUGGUCUUGAUACAAAGCCCAUGUUCUAAGCCCAAAUGCAAACCAUUUACACUACCAAGAGAAGAGAAGAGAGUAAGAAAGGAAAAAACUGGAAAAGAAACUCAUUUCUUAUGCUUAGUCACAGUAUUUUCACAAAAACAAAGUCCUCAAUUGCUAAUCGGGACGCCAUAAUUUCAGUCGAACAAGUUGGGCCGGUCCGGGCAAUACAAGCCCGGGCCCCAUACUUCCCCAUAAAGAGUACCUACAAAACGCCAAAAUUAAAACCCAGCAGGUAAGAAUUCAGAAGCUCUGCCUGUUCAUCGAAGCUUGACACAUUUUCUUGUUCAAAAUCUCAAAUUUACCAGUUAAAAUUCAUUAACAAUGGUUGGUACGUAUUCAAUUUUAUCUUCUUCCUAAUCUCAUCCUCACUCGUUUCUUUAUGCUUAUUUUCUUAAAUCACUGAUUUUGUUUUUUUUUGUUAAAAAAACUUAGGGACGCAACAAGAGAGAGAAGAGAAAGUAUCAUUAGAACUAACAGAAGAAAUUCUUCAAAGCAUGGAAACUGGCAUGGUUUUUAGAGAUUAUGUAUGUUUCUUUCAUUUUUAAAACACCCCAUUUUAUAAUUCUUUCAGUUUUUCAGUAUUACUCACUUUUUGUUUCAUUAUUGGUCACAGAACGGAAGAAUUAGUUCCAUGGAUUUUCAUAAGACAUCAAGUUAUCUAGUAACUGCUAGUGACGAUGAAUCUAUUCGACUUUAUGAUGUUGCCGGCGCCGCGUAAGCUUUCUUUUCCUGCAAGCUUAUAGCUUAAGCUUUUAAUAUUUGAUAACAUCUUGGUGGAUAUUAGUCAUGUUAGAGUGAUUUUGUUAUGCCUGUCUUCAGAGCAGAUGGUGGGCAAAGGGGGAUGUUUUUGAAAAUUUUACGUAUUUGAAGAAAUUAUUGUUAUAUUUCGGAAAUUCAAUGCUGUAGGUAGUUGUGUUAGCGAAGUGUGUGAUUUAACUUCGGUAAGCAAAAGCAUUUGCUCGGAUUUGUUUUUUUUGUUAUGUUUUCAGGUUGAGUUACUGUAUAUCAUUUUUAUAUAGUAAAUCGUUUUGGUUGCUGGGAAUUAUAAUGAUUGCAAAACUGGGUUGAAAAUGCUAAUCUUCUGUCUAUUUGACUCUUUGUGAAUGAGAGAUUCAAGAAGAAAGUUUGAUAAGAAUUUAAAGGGGAUUUUUUACUAUUUGCUUGGUUUUAAUGCUAUAGAUGGCAGUUUUGCAACUCUUUUAUGUUAUUGGAGCUGGUUGAGCAAUAGAUUUGUUGAAUUUUUAUGUCAUCAUAGAAGUAUGGAUGUAAUUAUUUAAGGGAAGCGGCAUAUCUUGUUCAUAACAGAUUGAUAUUUUCUUGUUCUUAUUUUAUGGUGGUUGUUGGACCAUGUUUUCUUAUUGGCAUGAAUUAUGGAGACAACAUGUUUAACUUCAGAUGCUUGAAGGCAAUUAAUAGCAAAAAGUAUGGGGUUGAUCUGGUUUGCUUCACAUCUGAUCCUACAACUGUUUUAUACUCCUCAAAAAAUGGAUGGGAUGGUACGUUAGCCACAACUGCAUUUUUAUAAUAUCUUUUUGAUCAUUUAUUUAUUUUUCAGGGCUAGAUCAUGGAUUUAUGCUUGCUUUAUCAUGCUGUAUUUAAUACCAUGCAUAUAUUAUGGAUGCAGAAUCUCUGCGACUUCUCUCGUUGAACGAUAACAAGUAUUUGCGGUAUUUUAAGGGUCACCAUGACAGGUAAGGUUUCCAAUAUCGAUGGCAUUUAUUUCACUCCCUAGUGAUUGCUUCUACUGGACAUCUGUAUCAUGAAGUCACAUUUCAUGUUGUUUUUCUAAGGGUUGUCUCGCUAAGUUUGUGCUCUCGCAAAGAAUGCUUUAUCUCCGGUUCUCUCGAUCGAACUGUUUUGCUUUGGGAUCAACGAGCUGAAAAGUGCCAGGUUGAUAAGUUGGAAUAUAGAUGCUUGCUUAGAGAAAGGUGCUCUCUCUAUUCAUCUUGUAUUCUGAUUCCUUGUCUAUGCUGUAGGGUCUUUUACGUGUACAAGGAAGGCCUGCUGCAGCAUAUGAUGAUCAAGGGAUAGUCUUUGCAAUUGCAUUUGGAGGAUACAUUAGAAUGUUUGAUUCUCGCAAGUAUGAAAAGGUUAGUGUUUAUGCAUGAAAAAGUGUAAAGAGGAUUAGCUGUUGCAUAAGUAACUUCACAACUAUUUACCAAGGAUUUUUUUGUUUCAGGGUCCUUUUGACAUCUUUUCUGUUGGAGGAGAUGUAUCUGAUGCAAAUGCGGUAAAGUUCAGCAAUGAUGGAAGACUAAUGCUCUUGACUACCAUGGAUGGGCAUAUUCAUGUACUUGAUUCAUUCCGUGGAACACUUGUGAGUCUGAAUUUGAGUUUUUUUAAUACAUUUUCCUUUUCUUAUUAAAUGAUGAAGAUUUUGGAUGGUGAUUCAUGAACAGUUCAAUGAAUCAGUUAUCUACAUAUUUGCUGACCUUCCAUAUUCGCUGUUGUAUUAGUUAUCUACAUACAAUGUGAAACCAGUUUCAAUCAAUUCCACAUUAGAGGCAUCUUUCAGUCCUGAAGGAAAGUUCGUUGUAUCAGGUAUUGUAUCUGCCACUUCUUUGGAGUUGAGGUGACACUAAUUUAAAUCUUUUUUCAGUUAGUUGGUACCUCAGAUUUACAUGCUUGGAAUGAAGAGCUUCACAGUGGUUCUGUGUGUAAAAUUAUUAUUCAAUGGGAUCAAUCCUGCACAUGGGCUGAACCAUCAGAAAUAGAAAAUUUUUGAAGUGUUCAUAGAUAUAGUUGGGUCAGGUUUGAACUCAUAAUUUUAUCGAACCUAACUUUUGAUAUUUUACAAAUUGUAAACCCGAUCCAUUCAAUUUUUUUUUGGACCCGAGCGUGUUGUAUAUAUCUGGUUGGGCUAGAUUUUUUAUGGAUACUACAAAUAUCUAAGGGUUGGGCUUAAUUAGAACUAAGAUUUGGGCUGCAUAAAUUAGCUCAAAACCUGUUAUAAACUAAACUGUAGCAAAUAAUUUAGGCUUACUAAUCAAUUGACUAAAAUGGAAGAAUCAAUUGUAAAAAAAAGUACACAACAUAUAACAACAAAUUAAGUUCUGAACAACAACAACAAAAAAAAAAAAAUGAGAGAGAGAAACACAACAUAUAACAACAAAUUAAGUUCUGAACAACAACAACAACAAAAAAAAAAAAAUGAGAGAUUGGGUCAGGUUGAUUUGGUUCUAAAAAUCCUAAUCCGCCACGUGACCAGUGAUAUCUAUUUCUUAGGUUUUUUGAUCAACUAUCAUCUGUAAUAUUCAUAUUAUCUGAUUUUAAUGAGUUGGGUUGGGUUGGGUUAAAUAAUGUAAAUAUUAUAGACGAGCUGGUUUUUUUAAACACCGCUAGAAGAUUUGCUAGAAAAUUUAUCUGACAUCAAACCUAGAAUUCACCUGUUUUAAUAGGCAAGUCUUCCCUGUUGUGACUCCUUGCUAACUUUGCUUUCAUGGUUCUGAUAUUUUGACAGGUUCAGGUGAUGGCCGAGUGCAUGCUUGGAGUGUAAGGAGUGGGAAAGAAGUACAUUAAUAACCAUUAUUCUCUUACAUAUUUUCAAUUUGUUCCUUGAUUUACAUCAGACAUAGUGAUCUCUUUUCUUUGUCUGUGUAGGUUGCGAGUUGGGUGACAUAUGAAACUGAGCCUCAUGUCAUAAAAUGGGCACCUGGAAGUCUUAUGUUUGCUACUGGGUCUUCUGAGCUAUCAUUUUGGAUUCCAGACUUGUCUAAAUUAGCAGCUUAUGUUGGAAGGAAGUAGAAUUUCUUCAGUACUGCCCUUACAAUUUCAACCUUUAUGCAGCCAUGAGGUUUAUUGCAUCAUUUUUUUGGAUAAAAUUACCAACAAAACUUGAAUCUAGUGCUGGAUUCUCCUCGUAUCUUUUUUCAGAAAAUACAGUUCCUCUCCUUGCCUCUGGGGUUUCAGUUAUUGUAGGGAUUGUUUUUUGGUUUAGGGCAGUGGCAAUCAACUAUGCACUGUAUAAAUCAUCGCUCAACUUUCGAGCUUUUUUUGCGGUUGUAGAUGAGAAGUUGCUUGGGGGCUGUUACAGUAUCAACCUCGUAUCAUCGAAGUGUUCCAUAAAAAGCAUAUUGAAGUUCAGGUAUCAAAAUGUAACAUUCUACAAUACCUUGUAACCUUUUGAUUGUAUAGACGUUACAUGAUAUGAGUAGGCCAAUGAACGCACUAAAUUUCAUAGUUCUUUUACUUGUCAAUAGAAGUGAAUUUAUGCUUUAUACAAUCUACCAGUGCUUUAACUUCAUUUCCUCAGGUUUGUUUGUACAUGUAAAGGCACUUAUUUCUAUUUUCUCUGAUCAUAUCUGCAAUACUUUCUAGUAGCUUAUUUGCAUAUUAUCUUAUAGCUACACCACACCCUAUAUGUCUCAAACACUGCCUUCUUGUGGGUUUUACUAGCCAAAUUAUUUUUAAUGAAAGAGAAAAUUGAGAAUUAGAAAAUUGAUGUGUUCAUUUAAUGAAAUAAAGCAAAAUUAUAUGAACUAAUAAUUGUAAAAAAAGUUAACUUUAAUAAUAAAAAAAAAAUCGAUUUGGUGAUAUAAAGAGUUCAAUUAAGUUUUUUAUUUAUUUAAUUACAUGAAAAUAAAAAUAGUUUUUUAUCAUAAAUAUAAUUAUUUAAAAUUUGUAAAAAAAUAUAAUUGUUAGUAUAAAUUUUCUUCUUUAUUAAUAUAAUUUUUUUAACAAAAAAGUAUAUCUUUCUUUAGUUGUUUAUGGUAUAGAAACUAUAAAUAAUCAAAAUAAAGAUAAAAAAAAUUCUAAAAAUUAAAAAACAUCUAAAAAAAAUUGCUCUUUAAUUAAAAUCUCUUUCCCGUAUUAAUGCAUUCCUUCUCUUCUUUUGUUUGGCAAAAUAGGUUUUUAUCAUGAGCUUUUUUAAAACAAGAGCUUAUCAUAAUCUUAAAAUCAAUUUUUAAUAACAUAAAAUAAUGAAUUGAUAAUUUUCACAUGAAUGUAUUAAAAAUAUAACAAUAAUACUGUUGAGAAGAAUUAUAAAAAAAAUUACAAUAAAUACUUAAAAAGUAAAUAUUUCAUCCAUAUUUAAAGAAUUAUGCAUAUUAGGUUCAUAUAUAACUAUUUAGAAAAACAAAUUUUAGUAUUACUAUAAAAAAUAUUAAUAUCAUUUAAAAAUAAUGGCAUAAUUGGAUAAUUGUUUAAGUAUCAUUUAAAUAAAUUUAUUUUAAAAUAAUUCAAUAAAAAAUACAAAAAAAAAAACAAUGAGAAAAAAUAGAGCUACAAGUGCAUGAUUUGGACAUGCGCGACUGGCCUAAAUGAAACUCAUGUCAACUUGCUUGGUUUCUAUUUAUUUUUAAAUAGGGUAGAUUACAUGUCAUUUGACCUAUUUUGUUUUAAAAAAAAUUGGUAGAUGAUGAGUUGCCUACUUGAGUAGAUGACACGUCGACCACUUGUCAUCUUUUUUGUCCAUUGAAGGUGUUUUUGGUGGCUGAAAAAUCAGAGUUUAAGUUUUUAGACCUUGAAAACCCAGAUUUCAACCUUUUUUGUUUUACUUAAAAAUGAAAAACAAAUCUUAUAAACCUUUAUAACCUAUUUCUAACAAUAAAACACAUUUCAAUCAAUCUAAAAACUCAAAAUAAAAUAACAUAAAUCCCUAGACCCUGAUUUACUUUCUCGACAUCAUUGAAGGUGAAAACCAUCUUUAUUAAGUUUAUCUAUUGAAGAUGAAUCCAUCAACAUCAAAAUUAAAGUUAUUGGUGAUUAGAAUCUGAUCGCUCAAAAGCUUCCUCUCUGCUAAAUUUUUUUAGUAACUUUCUCUCUCAUCUCUUAUGACCUGAAACAUUAAACAAAUAAAGUUUGAGAUUGAAAAUAAAAAUAAAAAAUAGAAGGGUCUAAACUAAAACUAAAGUUAAAAUUAAGGAACUAAUGUGUAGAUUUACAUGACUUUUGAACAAUAAACACGAGAAAAAAAUUGUUAAUUUUUAACAAUAUCAAAUUUAGUCCAUUUCGUUUUAAUUUUAUCUUUUACAAUAAUUUAAAAAUUUUCCAUGUAAAAUUGUCAUGUCAUUGAAUCGCAAAAUAAUCUCCAUCACAUUGAGCACGUGCAAACAAGAAAUCUAAAGAGUGAAAAAAUCUAGGACAAAAACAAAAGAACUUUCAAGGACUAAAUUAGAAUCCACAACUUAAAUGUAAAAAAAAACUUGAUAGACUAAAAAAGAAAUUAGCUACAAAGUAUGUCACUUAUGAAUAAAAAAUUCUAAGAGGAUGAAUAAAAUAUUUAGUCUUUAUAAUAAUUGUUAAUAAUUUCUUUGUUGAUUUUAAUAAUCAAUAUUAAUGUUAAUGUGUCAUUGUUCAUUUGACUUUGUUAGAAAAAAUAGUAGUAGAAAGAAAACAAUAUUAUCAUGUCACACGAAACUUAUAUCAUUAGUUUAAGUAUAAUCACAUUAAAUAAUAAAAAAUCAUGUUUUUUAUUCAUGGUAUAAGUGUACCUUAUUUGCAUAAACAAUUAUUAUGAGAAUUAGGAUAAAGUUUUCUUUUGAGAGUUCCUUCUCCUCUUAUCUUUUCUAUGUUAUUUUCUUUUUUAUAUUUUUCUUCUCUCUUUCUUCUUUACUUGUAUGUUAAUGUUAGCAAACAUUAUAAGGGUGACGAGUUAUAGCCCUUGAUAAUUAUUGUGAGAAUACAAAACUCUUCAUCCUUUUCUCUUAUAUUAAUUUAUUAAUAUAAAUAAUAUUAAUAUGAAUUAAGCUAAUCUAUCAUAUAUGACUCAAAUAUAUUUUUUCACUUUAUCUUCCACUCACACAUGAUAGGAUGAAUUCUCUCAUUAAUUAUAUAAAAUUCAUACUUAACAAAUAGGCUAGAUAUUAAUUGUUAUAUAUUUGUUAAGAAUAUAUAAUGACUGUUAUUAAACCCGAUCCGGCCUGGUGGGUUGACCUGGUGGCUGGACCGUUCCAGGUUUAAUAAAAGACCGGCUGUGGCAACAGCCCGGCCAAACCCAGGCGACCCAGGACCCGGUCAAGCCGGGCGAACCAGGACGAGACUCGAUUUUUUUUUUUUAAAAUGUGGGAUUUGAAACCCAUUAAUAUAUAUACUCUAUGUUCUCAAGAAAAAAGUCAUGUUUUUUCAAUGUGGGAUAAAAAACCUUUUGGUUUAAAUACUUCAACUUAAAAGGAUAACAUAGUAUCUUUUCAAUGUGGGAUUUGAAACCCUUUCGUAUAUAUACUCUAUGUUCCCAAGAAAAAAAUCAUGUUUGUUCAAUGUGGGAUAAAAAACCUUUUGGUUUAAAUACUUCAACUUAAAAGGAUAACAUAGUAUCUUUUCAAUGUAGGAUUUGAAACCCUUUCAUAUAUAUACUCUAUGUUCCCAUGAAAAAAGUUAUGUUUUUUCAAUGAGGGAUUUGAAACCCAUUAGUAUAUAUACUCUAUUUUCCCAAGAAAAAAAUCAUGUUUUUUCAAUGUGGGAUAAAAAACCUUUUGGUUUAAAUACUUCAACUUAAAAGCUUAACAUAAUAUCUUUUUAAUGUGGGAUAAAUUUUUUUUUAAAAUAUUCUUUUAAACUUCAUAAUAUGUAUAAUCUAUAUUUACAUGGACUUUUUCAUAUGAAAUAUUAAAUUUUUUUUUAAUUUUCCCGGGUUGACCCGAGUUGACCCAUGAAACCCGGAACCCGGCCCCUUGGCUGGGUCAACCCCCGGGCCGGGUUUAAUAACUAUGUAUAUAACUUAUCGAAUAAUAGGAUAUCUAGUAGAUGCAAUAUACAACACUCUGGUCCCUAAGGAGCGUAGCGUGAUGGCAAAGGGUUUGAGAUCUACACAGCAGGUCUCGAGUUCGAGUCAGGGCGUGCAUCUCUUAUAAAAGCCUAGGACAGCCGGGGUUUUACUCGCUCACCUGGGCCCACAAAGUACGCUUUCCGGGGGGUGGGGUUUCCUCGAAUCCAAAAAAUAAUAAUAUACAAUACCUUGGAUCAUUUCUCAAAUCUUUUUAUCUCUCAUGAUAUCAUUCAUUAUACUUCCUGUAUUCAUAAUUAUAUUUUAUGAUAUAGAAAAACAUAAUUGGUCUACCAAUUACUACAAGUUGAUAUGAUAAUACUAAUAUGAUCUUUUUUUUCUCUCAAAUCCCUCAAUUUCUUUCUACUUGACUCGUUUUUCUAGUAAUGCCCAUGUAGAUCAUAUCAUUCAUAGCAACAUACUAAGAUAACAAAUAUCAUAUCUAAGUUUUGAGAAAUAAUCGAGAGUCAUAAAGGUGCAUAUAAAGAUUACUAAUAAUCUUUAAGGUCUCAUACAAUAUAAAAUUAAGAUCUUAGUUUUUAUUAUUCUUAUUGGUCAUAAUACGCACAUGUGGUAUGAAACACAUACUAUGAUAUUAUCUCAUCUAUUUUAAAGAGUAUGCCUUUGUCAAUAAUACCGUACAAAUGAUAGUUCAAACAUGCUAAAAGUUUAGAUAUACUAAAAGUCUUUGAGUUCACUUAUCUGAUAGUUUAGACAUACAAAUGAUAGUUCAAAACAUGCGAAUUGAAAAAAAAACAAGUAAACUCGGAUAAAUUUUCUAAACCUGGGUUAACCUCUAAAAUCUACAACAUGCGAAAUCCUUGACCCUGACAUAACUAAGAAGCUUAAUUCCUAAUCAAUUUAAUAUUGAAGGAUGAAACCAAAAAAAAAAAUCAAUUUAACCAAACUAAAAAAAACAGCAAUAAAAAGAAUGAGGAUAAAAUUCAAUAGGAAAAAAAAAAGGAUGAAAUUAAAAAAAUAAAUUUAAAAAUGAUCUCAAACAAAACAAAUAGUAAUCAAAAUAAUAGUGUUCAAAUUUAAAAACUGAGAAAAUUAAAGGGGGUUGAAAUUAAAAAAAAUCUAAUUUUAUAAAUUAUUUAAAAAAACAUUAUAAUCAAAAGAAUAAAAAUUAAAUAUAAAAAUUAACAAAUUAAAAAGUUAUUAUGAAAUUUUUAAGGAAUUGAUGUGAAAAAAAAAAAAAAAAAAAGACCGCCAGCAUAAAACAAGAGGGGCAUCUAACUUACGUGUUGUAUCAUAACUGAGAGAACACUGUGAUGAUUCAAAUGCCAAAGCGGAAAGCCCCAAAUGUGCCACUCGAAGGAUUAUUGUCAGGAUGCAAAUUUUUAUUUUUAUUUUCUUAUAUUAUUUUAUUAAUAUAAAUAAUAUUAAAAUGAAUAAGCUUGAAAUGGUUUACCCAAUUUUUUUUUUCCCUUCGUACUUUUAUAAAGACACAAACAAGUCGGCCCAACAAGGUUUGAGUUUAGCCACACGAGAUUGGCAGCAGAUUAAUGUUGUACGCUAACUCUGUGGCCAGUUGCCACUUUGGAUGUUAUAACAACCUUUUUCUUC